UGUGAGUAGCGAAAGACGGGUGAGAAUCCCGUCCACCGAUUGACUAAGGUUUCCAGAGGAAGGCUCGUCCGCUCUGGGUUAGUCGGGUCCUAAGCUGAGGCCGACAGGCGUAGGCGAUGGAUAACAGGUUGAUAUUCCUGUACCACCUAUAAUCGUUUUAAUCGAUGGGGGGACGCAGUAGGAUAGGCGAAGCGUGCGAUUGGAUUGCACGUCUAAGCAGUAAGGCUGAGUAUUAGGCAAAUCCGGUACUCGUUAAGGCUGAGCUGUGAUGGGGAGAAGACAUUGUGUCUUCGAGUCGUUGAUUUCACACUGCCGAGAAAAGCCUCUAGAUAGAAAAUAGGUGCCCGUACCGCAAACCGACACAGGUAGUCAAGAUGAGAAUUCUAAGGUGAGCGAGCGAACUCUCGUUAAGGAACUCGGCAAAAUGACCCCGUAACUUCGGGAGAAGGGGUGCUCUUUAGGGUUAACGCCCAGAAGAGCCGCAGUGAAUAGGCCCAAGCGACUGUUUAUCAAAAACACAGGUCUCUGCUAAACCGUAAGGUGAUGUAUAGGGGCUGACGCCUGCCCGGUGCUGGAAGGUUAAGAGGAGUGGUUAGCUUCUGCGAAGCUACGAAUCGAAGCCCCAGUAAACGGCGGCCGUAACUAUAACGGUCCUAAGGUAGCGAAAUUCCUUGUCGGGUAAGUUCCGACCCGCACGAAAGGCGUAACGAUUUGGGCACUGUCUCAACGAGAGACUCGGUGAAAUCAUAGUACCUGUGAAGAUGCAGGUUACCCGCGACAGGACGGAAAGACCCCGUGGAGCUUUACUGUAGCCUGAUAUUGAAAUUCGGCACAGCUUGUACAGGAUAGGUAGGAGCCUUUGAAACGUGAGCGCUAGCUUACGUGGAGGCGCUGGUGGG
This 899-nucleotide ribosomal RNA is filed under the name Staphylococcus aureus. RNAcentral describes it as "partial 23S ribosomal RNA". It matches the Rfam family "Bacterial large subunit ribosomal RNA", at positions 1301 to 2196 of the family's 2925-position model. Lineage: Bacteria; Bacillati; Bacillota; Bacilli; Caryophanales; Staphylococcaceae. The record is from RNAcentral.